AAAAUUUUAAUUAAAAAAUUAAUUAUUUAUAUCAGCUCGUAAUCUUUUUAUGCAUAUAAAAGAAUUUCAAUAAUUUUUUUCUCAUUCCAUAAUAAUUGAGUCCAAAGUAACAUGGUAAAUUGAAAGAAAUACUUCCUUGAUUAUAUUUGUAGAUGCCAUUCUUUUAAGUAGAAUUGAAAAGAAAAUUUAAUUAGAAGAUUGUUUGCUCAUAUGAUCUCAUAAUUUUUGUACAAGGAGCAUAAUUCAUAAUUUAAGUUUCUUCCUUUUAAUUAAACAUCCAAGCAAUUCAAAGAAAUUAUUUUUCAUUUAUUUCCUUCUCUUCCUUUCCUUCACAGCUCUUAACAAAAAGUAAUUUCAGCAUUUCAUCAUGUUUUAGCUAAAUAAGAUACUUAAAACAUUUAACAAAAAAUAAAUAAAUAAAUACUAAAAUAAAUUAUUUAGGUAUAUAUUAGCUAAAAGGUGAUGAAUCAUAAAUUAACUUCAAAAGUUUUAUACAUCACCACUACUAAACUAUAUGCAAUACAUCUCAGUUAGGCAUAAAGCAAGAUCAUGAUGAUGGGGUAAACAAUUUGUGGACAACCCUAUAAAUUGUCAAACUAAUCGAAUAGUAAGAACAUAAUAAACUUAAAAUGUUCAAUUUACAGAUGUCAAGUGCUUUUCUUGGGGUCUGUUCACAAGAAUCCUAUUCACAAAGCUACUACAGAAGUAGAGAAAACUAAUGAAAGGGUAUUAAACUGAAUGAAAUCAUCAGUAAUUCCAUCUUCAGUCUAUUCAAUCUCAAGAAUGUUGUCAAAAAGGUCCUUCUGCAGGUUAGAAAAAGAAGGAUAGGGUUCCUUGCUCAUAUAACCAGCAAAAGAAUUUAGAAUUUGAAGCCACUUGCCAAGACAUCAGGCAACUGAACGAAUGAGGAUCGAGUCAAUCAAAGAUUAAAAAAAAAAAUUUUAAAAAAAGCCAAAACAAUUUUGAGGUAUAAAAAGACUACAUAAUUAAAACAUCAUUUGCGUAAGUUGAAAAGAGAUGAAAUAUAUAGAGAAAGCUAUAUGUAUCCUAAACCAAGAUNN
Molecule: long non-coding RNA, 1061 nt
Filed under: Ricinus communis (castor bean)
Lineage: Eukaryota; Viridiplantae; Streptophyta; Magnoliopsida; Malpighiales; Euphorbiaceae
Description: long non-coding RNA (RCOM_LNC002171)
Source: RNAcentral